Molecule: ribosomal RNA, 460 nt
Filed under: uncultured bacterium
Lineage: Bacteria
Description: partial 16S ribosomal RNA
Rfam family: Bacterial small subunit ribosomal RNA
Source: RNAcentral
CCUACGGGAGGCAGCAGUGAGGAAUAUUGGUCAAUGGCCGGAAGGCUGAACCAGCCAAGCCGCGUGAAGGUCAGUGCCCCAUGGGCGUUAAACCUCUUUUUUUCGGGAGCCAUAAUGGUCACGUGUGGCCAGACGAGAGUACCGUACGAAUAAGCAUCGGCUAACUCCGGGCCAGCAGCCGCCGUGAUAAGGGGGGUGCAAGCGUUUUCCGGAUUUUUUGUGUUUUAAGGGUGCGUAUGCUGGGAGGUAAAUCAGCUGUGGAAUGCCUGCGGUCGACGGGGUGAAGUGCCAUUGAUACUGGCUGUCUUGAGUGCGGAUGACGUGGGAGGAAUGUGUGGUGUAGCGGUGAAAUGCAUAGAUAUCACGCAGAACACCGAUUGCGAAGGCAGCUCACGAAUCCGCGAUUGACGCUGAUGCACGAAAGCGUGGGUAUCAAACAGGAUUAGAUACCCUUGUAGUC